GUUAAUUAAAAAGGAAGUAAGGAAUAAGAAAAGAAAGAAAGGGCAAAAGAAGAAGAAAAAAAAAGGAGAUAUAUUAAAGGAUGGGGGAACGGCGCGGUGUCUGACCCUUCCCGAUAAGCCCGGUGGUUUGCUCGAAUGGCUCAAGAUUGAUCUGUGAAGCUAUUUAAUAAUCUUCUUCAACGAAAGUCACAGAUCUGUUACUUUGGAUGCUUAUAGGCAAAGAUCUGUGAGCAGCCAAUUGGUGAAAAAUAAAAUGCAACAGAAGAAGCAAGAAAUGGAAAGAAGAGAGACAAAAAAAGGAGAAAAAUAAAAUUUUUUACGAGCUUGACAACUGUAACUAUAACCAACAUUGUUUCAGCGGCUGAGGCUGCCACUGCAGGCUUUGCUUUUUAAGAGAGAGCCCUAUGCAAACUGCAAAAAGCUUAAACGAGUGAGAAACUGAGAAGGGGAUUUCUCUCUCCUGACUUGGACUGUGAUAUAUCGAAUAGUAAAAAAAGGCCUUUUAAUCACUCCACAGCCAAAGUACUCUUGUGAAUUAUCGUCAUCAAUGAAUAGGACACAGCAACCCCACCUGCUACACUUCUUCUAGCCUCUUCACUUCUCUCUCUUCCACACCCAUUUUCAGCUCUCCUCUCCAUGACAAGUACAAAAAGAUGAGGAGAGGUAGCUAGCAAGAAGGAAGCAAACGCAAGGAAAAAGGAAAGAGGGGAAGUGUUUUAGGGUCUUGGUUUUUGAGUUAUUGUUUUGACAAAGGAAUGAAAGUGCUAUGGAGGUGGAGGAGAGUCAGACGCAACCCAGUAAGUUCUCUAGAGUCGGUAAUGACAGAAGUGACACUAGCAAAAUAGGCCAAAAAGGAAGUGGUGACCACCAAUACCCAGAUGACGAAGAAGAUGGAGAUCUCAAAAGGCCUAAUCUUGGCACUGGAAGUAUUGGUGGUGGCAGUAGAUCGGGCGGCGAUGCCGGCAGCGCCAAUAGGCUUCGUGGGUGGCAGCAUUCGUCACGCAUAAUUAGGGUUUCUAGAGCUUCCGGUGGGAAAGAUCGACACAGUAAGGUAUGGACCUCGAAGGGGCUAAGGGACCGGAGGGUCAGGUUAUCGGUGACCACCGCAAUACAAUUCUACGAUCUCCAAGAUCGGUUGGGCUAUGAUCAACCAAGCAAAGCAGUAGAAUGGCUGAUUAAAGCAGCUGCGGAUGCCAUAAACGAGCUCCCUUCGCUGAAUGGAUCCUUCCCCGACACUCCGAAGCAAUUAAGUGAUCAGAAAAGAACCAGUGAUGGUACUGAACAAGGGCUUGAUUCAGCUGAUGUGGAGCUUGAAGACCCCAAUUUUAACCAGAACCAGCAUCUUUCAUUGUCAAAAUCCGCUUGCAGUAGCACUUCAGACACAAGCAAAGGCUCAGGGCUAUCACUCUCGAGGUCUGAUAUUCGCGUAAACCGUGUUAAGGCUCGAGAGAGAGCAAGGGAGAGAGCUGCCAAGGAGAAGGAGAAAGAGAAUGAAUCACGCUUGGCACAUCACCAGAACAUGAACCCCAUUUCUCAAGGCUCCACAUUUACUGAGCUUUUAACGGCUGGGAUUAGUAGUGUAAGCAAUAACAAUAACAACAACAACGGCAACAACAAUGGUGCUACUACUAGUCCUGUUUCUGAGGCCAACUUGUUUCACAAGGAGGCAGCCCCGGCGAGGCAGUGGCCUUUGACCCCGAUGGAUUACUUUAGUACAGGGCUUUUAGGGCCUUCAUCUUCGCGGACAACCCACCAUCUAUCGGGGUUUUCAGGACAAAUCCAGUUGGGGAAUUCAAUCCCUCAAGCAAUGACAAUGUCGAUCCCGCAAUUCAAUUUCUCGGGGGAGAAUUCCCAGGAGCAGUUGCAGCAUUUUCCUUUCGUUUCCGAUCAUUUGAUCCCAGUGGCCACGACACAGCCGGGUCCCGGUGGGGACUAUAAUCUCAACUUCACCAUUUCUUCAGGCCUUGCUGGUUUCAAUAGGGGGACCCUUCAGUCCAAUUCUUCAUCACCGUCUCUUUUGCCUCACCUCCAGAGGUUUUCCUCUUCUCCCGUAGACGGCUCAACAAAUGUACCUUUCUUCAUUGGUGCUGCUGGAGCGCCGCCACCACCAAUGGAGAAUCAUCACCACCAUCAUCAAUUCCCACCACCUGGGUUGCAGCUCUGCUACGGAGAUGGAAGCAGGCAUUCUGACCAGAAAGGCAAAGGGAAGAACUGAUCACUGCUUCGAAGCAUUCCAUCUUCCUGGUAUGCCUAAACAAUUCCCUAUCUCCAGUUUAUUUCAUUCUUCUUUACUGUUUACAUCUGUCCUUAAUCUUGUGAUUUUCUUGUUUCUUUACCUUGUCUUUUGGUAUGGAUAUUCGUGUCCCUCUCUUGAGACGUGCAGUGCAUAGUAAUACUAACCAUGAAUUCUUUAAAAUUUUUUCUUUCUUGGUAAUCAUGAAGUAUGUUAGCCAUUGGGUGUAUUUUCAUGGGUGUUAUGUAUUAUAUUGUCUUUUCAUGAUUCCUGCGUGGAUUCAUGUGAUUUGGAAUGGACAGAUUGUCUCCUUUUUUGUUCUCUUUCUGGUUCCCUUCUCCCUAACAUCUGCAAUCCUGGCCAGGUGUUAGUUUCCUGUGGCUCAGCCAUGUGUUGUGGCACUGACUGGGAUAAAGGCUAACCUUUACAAGGUGAAACCUUAAUUAGCUUUACUGUUUUAGAAUCCCAAUUCCUUUUUUGCCUGUAAAAUUGGGCCACAUGACAAUAGAUCGGCGUUAUGUCGGUUCUUGAAAGCCUUUUAGGGUUUUAGCGGUCAAAUUGGUUAUAUGAAUGAACAAAUUGCAUUGCUGCUCCAUGCACGUAGUAGCAAACAUUUAAACGGAAUUUUGUAAAGACGCAUUGUAAUUAAAAAAUACGCCACCGAAUACUUUAAAAAAAAGCGGUUCAACCUUGAAUUUGAAAAAGUGAUAUCCACAUUUUUUAAAUUUGUGUGCUCAAAAUUUUGAUGGAAUUUUAAAAAAUUAUUUUUAUAAUUUGAGUGGAAUAAGCAUUUCUCAAUAAAAUGAUGGGAGAUUAUUUACUACAUAGGGUAGAACUUAAAUUAUAGUAUUAUUCCUAAAUUGAGUUGAAUUUCUAAUUAGAUUAUGAAUAAAGAAAUUAAUACUAUAAAUCGAAGUAUUGUAGAGAGUUUAUUUGGUUUUGUAUGAGAGGCUCUUGCCAUUGCAUUUCUUUGAAAGGCUUAGUAGGUAGGGUUUUAUGGAUUGGUAGGAUGUGAAACUCAUUAUAUAGAGUUAGGGAUUUUUUUUUUAGGGAGUAGGGAUUUCUUCUACAUUGUGAUAUUUAGACAAAUGUAUAUUUUACAUUUGAG
This 3341-nucleotide unclassified non-coding RNA is filed under the name Hevea brasiliensis (rubber tree). The record is from RNAcentral. Lineage: Eukaryota; Viridiplantae; Streptophyta; Magnoliopsida; Malpighiales; Euphorbiaceae.